AGUCGACAUUUGUUGUUAAUCGGUGCUUCCCCUGAAGGCAGCUAUUACUAUUCAUACACCAAAGAAAUUAGUUUAAAAGCGUCCAACUGAAGCAUGAAUUUACCUUUACAGCUAAGGAAAGCACUGACCAGUAAGAGCCCAGAGGCUCCUCAAGGAGCGUCCACGAAAGAGGCCAACAGCACGGCAAUUACCUAAGGAAAGCACUGCCCUGGAAGAGCCUAGUCGCUCCUCUCAAGAGCCUCUACAAAAAAGGUCGACAACAGGUCAAUCACCUAAGGAAAGCACCGGCCUGGAAGAGCCUAGAGACUCCCCUAAAGACCUGCCACAGAGGCAAAUAGCAGGGUAAUCAGGAUCACACGGGACUGAAGAAACGUCCGUUGUAUUUUACCGGGUGGACGACAAGUACUCGGCGGUCGGCUACCUGCAGCCGGGUCGGAUGACCCUGCAUGGCCAGACUCACCCUGCCGGCGUGGAUGUCGUCCUUGUUAGAUGGGUCGACAACAAGGAAGGGGAAGUGCCACCUCCGCUCGCAAUAGUGGACCCCGAAGAGAAUGCCAAGCUGUGUCCUGGUCAAUUCUUUGCGUUUCCCAGGACCUGCUUGGCCAAAGUUAAAGUUAUCUGAACAGUGGCCCCGUUGUUCAGUGUUUUAGCCUUAGAGAGAGAUAGCGUUUCGUUUUGAAUUCCUUUUCCAUUACUGUUCGUGUAGUGAGCGUCCGCUCACUUUAUAAUUUUCUUGGCAGUGGGAAUUAAAAAACGAAAGUAAUCGUGAGCUUUACUCGUUUUUGCUUCUGAUGAAAAUGCACAUGACGUGGGGAACUUACGUAGUAAUAUCACUGCGAAGAUACCCACUGAAACCGACCUUUAUAGUGAAGGCAAUUUUCCUUUAUAUUUUGAUUUCCUUAUGAUGAUGAUGAUGAUGAUGAUGACCACGACGACGAUCGUGAUGAUGAUGAUGAUGACCACGACGACGAUCAUGAUGAUGAUGAUGACGAUGACGAUGACGAUGAUGACAAUGAAUAAGUUUUAAGUCUAAAUUUUAAUUGCUGGAAGAAUCUUUAAGUUGUGUUUUAUCAGCAUACAGAUUGUUUUAUGUGCCAUAAUAUCUUUAUGUAAAUGUAUAUCAA
This 1124-nucleotide long non-coding RNA is filed under the name Stylophora pistillata. RNAcentral describes it as "uncharacterized LOC111334846, transcript variant X2". The record is from RNAcentral. Lineage: Eukaryota; Metazoa; Cnidaria; Anthozoa; Scleractinia; Pocilloporidae.